GAUGAACGCUGGCGGCGUGCUUAACACAUGCAAGUCGAACGAAGAUGCCGGAGUGCUUGCACUUUGGCAGACUGAGUGGCGGACGGGUGAGUAACGCGUGGGUAACCUGCCUUAUACGAGGGGGAUAACAGUUGGAAACGACUGCUAAUACCGCAUAAGCGCACGGUAUCGCAUGAUACAGUGUAGAAAAACUCCGGUGGUAUAAGAUGGACCCGCGUCUGAUUAGCUGGUUGGUGAGGUAACGGCCCACCAAGGCGACGAUCAGUAGCCGGCCUGAGAGGGUGAACGGCCACAUUGGGACUGAGGCACGGCCCAAACUCCUACGGGAGGCAGCAGGUGGGGAAUAUUGCACAAUGGGGGAAACCCUGAUGCAGCAACGCCGCGUGAGUGAAGAAGUAUUUCGGUAUGUAAAGCUCUAUCAGCAGGAAAGAAAAUGACGGUACCUGACUAAGAAGCCCCGGCUAACUACGUG
RNAcentral lists this ribosomal RNA (472 nucleotides) under uncultured bacterium. RNAcentral's name for it is "bacterial SSU rRNA". It matches the Rfam family "Bacterial small subunit ribosomal RNA", at positions 28 to 507 of the family's 1533-position model. The record is from RNAcentral.